AAAAACUGCGGUGUUUCCUCUCGCCAUCUGCUCAUUUCUGAAAAAUUUCCCUCUUUUAUCUGUCUGCAGAUUCAUCAAAUCCCUUAGGCCUGCCUUCAAUCUCUCUGUAGAUUCAGCAAAUCCCGCAGAAUUGCUCCUUUAUAUCGCAGGAUUGAAGGCGCUUGAGAAUUUCGGUGAUUGAAGCUGUUUGUAAUCAGUAAUUUUGAAUGAUCCAGGGUUUUUCGAGUUGGUGAUUGGGGAUUUCUAGGGUUUAUGGGAAGAGGUUGAAUUGGUGGUUAUUAGGGUUUUUGGGUAUGUGAGAAGCGGAAACGGUGAAAAUUCCCGGGAUUGAUGGUUGAAGCUAGGGUUUUUAGUUGUUUACAAAUUGGGAAAAAUGCAAAGGAGGGGUUUUUAUUAUGCAUGGGAGGGUUCAGACGGAAGGUGAGGGCAGUUGUAGAAGUUCACAAAGCAGUAGCAGUUGGCAUAUGCACCCAACUGUAAUUGCUGCGGAUUCAAAUUCGUUCUUUAAGGAUGGCCGCAAAAUCAGUGUUGGUGAUUGUGCACUUUUCAAACCUCCUCAGGAUUCUCCUCCUUUCAUUGGUUUAAUUCGCUGGUUGACUUCAAGGAAAGACAAUAACUUGCAUUUAGGAGUCAAUUGGCUUUAUCGACCGGCUGAGCUAAAGCUUGGAAAAGGCUCUCUGCUGGACAGUGCUCCGAACGAAAUCUUUUAUUCAUUUCACAAGGACGAGAUACCUGCUGCCUCAGUACUUCAUCCGUGUAAAGUUGCAUUUCUUCCUAGAGGUGCAGAACUUCCCUUCCCACAGUCCUCUUCUGUUUGCCGGCGCGUCUAUGACAUUGAGAACAAGUGUUUAUGGUGGCUAACAGAUCAAGAUUACAUUAAUGAGCUACAGGAAGAAGUAGACCAGCUCUUAUACAAAACAAGAUCAGAAAUGCAUGGUAUGUUGCAGCCUGGUGGUCGUUCUCCAAAACAAGUUAAUGGCCCGAAUUCAGUCUCCCAAUUGAAACCUGGGCCUGAUCAUGUUCAAAAUAGUGGGACUUCCUUUCCUUCCCAAGUUAAGGGAAAAAAGAGGGAAACAGGAGAUCAUACAGCUGAUCCUGUCAAACGGGAUCGUUCUUCAAGGACAGAAGAUGGUGAUUCUGCUCAGUACAAAGCUGAAAGUAGUUUGAAAUCUGAUAUUGCAAGAAUAACUGAAAAAGGAGGAGUCGUGGAUUUGGAAGGUGUUGAGAAGCUCAUCCAAUUAAUGCAAUCUGAUAGAGCGGAGAGAAAAAUGGAUUUGACUAGUCGUUUGAUGCUUGCUGGUGUAAUAGCUGCCACUGAGAAGGUUGAGUGCCUUCAGCGAUUUGUUCAGCUCAGGGGUUUACCUGUAUUGGAUGAGUGGCUCCAGGACAUCCAUAAAGGAAAAGUUGGCAGUGGUAAUAGUUCAAAGGAUUGUGAUAAAUCUGUUGAGGAAUUUCUUUUGGUUUUACUUCGUGCACUGGAUAAACUUCCAGUGAAUCUUCAUGCCCUUCAAAUGUGCAAUAUUGGCAGAUCUGUGAAUCAUCUACGUUCAAAUAAAAACAUGGAAAUUCAAAGGAAGGCACGGAGUUUAGUUGACACAUGGAAGAAAGGUGUUGAAGCAGAAAUGAUUAGUAUUGAUGCAAAGUCUGGUUCAACCCAAGGCACAUCUGUGUGGUCUUCAAAAUCACGCCUUACCGAGGCAUCCCAUGCUGUGAAAACUCCAAAUGGGUCUGAUGUUGCCAUGAAAAGCUCAAUUACCCAGCAGUCCGCAUCUAAAACUAUUUCAAUAAAGUCCUCGCAUGGGGAAAAUAUCACAAAAUCUGCAUCUUCAUCUCCUGGGCCAGUGAAGCCUGCAUCACCACAUACAUCUGGCAAGGAAAGCCAACCAGGAAUUUCUGUUGGUGGCAGUCCUGAUGCCCCUAUAACUAGGGAGGAUAGGAGCAGUAGUUCUAACCAGUCUCAUAGUUACAGUCAGUCAAUCUCUGUUAAGGAGGAGGGGAGGAGUUCCCCUACAGUUUCAGCCAUUGCUGGUAAGAUAUCAAGUAGUAGUUCUCGUAACCGAAAAGGCAGUGGUUUUCCAGUGGUAAAUGCAGGUCAGAAAGAAAACAGUUCAAGCAGAAGUUCUUUAGUGCACAGAAGUACUGCUUCAGAUAAGUUAUCGCAGUCUGCUUUAACAAGUGAAAGAGUCCUUGAUGGACCCACCAGUGAAGCUUGCAAUCAUAAGCUUGUUGUUAAGAUACCAAACCUGGUGCGAAGUCCCACACGAGGUGUCAGUGGUCUUGAUGACCCUUCUAUUAUGAGCAGCCAAACUUCUUCUCCCGGUCUUUCUGACAAAGUCGAGCAGCUUGACACGAUUCCAAAGGAGAAAAGUGAUGCAUCUCGAUCUGACAUCAAUUUGGAUUCUUGUCAAAGCAAUGACAGAAAGGAUGCAUCUCGUGAUGGUGCCGCAUCACCUGCAGGUGUUCCUGAUGAUGAGAAAAGUACGUCAAUUGUGGACUCCAGGAGAUUAUUAAUUGAAGGCCCGAAGAAGAAUGAUGUGAAGUCAACAAAGUUGCAUGAAGCUUCUUUCAGCCCCAUGAAUGCUUUAAUUGAGAGCUGCGCUAAAUAUUCUGAAGCACAUUCUUCAUUGUCCCUUGAGGAUGAUAUUGGAAUGAACUUACUUGCUAGUGUGGCAACUGGGGAAAUGUCCCGAUCUGAAUUGGUUUCACCAACUGAUUCAACAGAAAGAAGCACCCCUGCAGUCCAGGAAGUCUCCUUUAGUGCAAAAUCAAAGUCUUCACCUGAAGAUCAGGUUCAAGGAUGUCAAAGUCAGUUUGUGAAUGAUGCUGAAAGUGACGACAAGAAACAAGCUGCUUUAGAUAGUAGUUCAGGGUCUGAAGACAGUUCAAAUUUGCCUAAACAAGCAUCACUUAUGUGUUCUGUUGAUGUAAUUCGUGGUCCAGCCCAUACUUCUGCAGAUCUACCUGUUAAAGAGCGCAAUAAACCUCUUGACUCUGUCAGUUCAUUCUUGAGAAGCACCAUCGACCCUGUGUUCUCCACUACAGAGACGUCAAAUCAAGAUGCAGACACCAAUGACAAGAUAAGUGGUGGUGAGGGAAAUAAAGGAAUUCAGGAGGAAAAGGCCCCGUCAAAUGAUGUUAAUGCUGAUAGUAUACUAAAUUGUAAGGGUGAUGAAACUAAUGCUGCUGACACUGAGGACAAGGCUGGUAAAGAUCUUUUAGAUACAGACAACGUGAACUUAAUUGGUAAAGUUGCAUUGUUAAAUAAAUCGUGUGUUGAGGACUGCAAGCAUGAUGUAAAUGAAGGAUUGGAGAUGGGAACUAACUCUCAGCAGAACUUUACUACUGCAGAGAAAGCUAGUAAUGAAAAGCUGCAGCAAACUGCACCUGUCCAGAGCCUAGUGUCUGAAACUAGCAAUGAAGUCAAAGUUAGAGAAAUGGAUUCAAAGACUCCCAUGACUAAUGCUGAAAGAGAGAACUUUGGUUGGCCAGUUGACAGAAACACAGCUACAGAAGGUAAUAGUGUUGCUGAUUCGUUUCUUAGUAGUAAUGACCUCAAGCGUCGUGAUAUGGAGGUCAACAUUGAUAAGAAAGAGACUGCUGAUUGUUCACUCGCUGAGGGAGGAUUUCCUGUGCCUGUGGUCCAUGAAGCUCAGAAGAAUCAUGAGUUGAGAGGAUCGAAGACUGCUGGAGUUGAAGUGGAUGAAGCGGAGUCUGCUUCCACUGUUGGAGAGGCUUCUUCUGCUGCACCAGCAUCUGUUCAAGAUUCAAAAAUAAAGUUUGACUUAAAUGAAGGUCUCAUCUUUGAUGAUGGGAAAUAUGGCGAGCCUGUCAGUUUAAUAGCUACUGAUUCAACCAGUGGUCCGAUGAUUAACACUCUCCCAUUUUCUGUAGAUCCCAUCCCUAGUUGCCAUCCUGGUUCCAUUACGGUGGCUGCUGCUGCCAAAGGUCCCUUUGUUCCUCCAGCGGACUUAUUGAGAAGUAAAGUGGAACUCGGGUGGAAGGGGUCUGCUGCAACUAGCGCAUUUCGGCCAGCUGAACCCAGAAAAGUUAUUGAAAUGGCGUUGCCUUCCACAAGUUUGUCAUGUGAUGCUUCUACCAGCAAAAAUGGUCGCACUCUGUUGGACAUAGAUUUGAAUGUGCCAGAUGAAAGAGUUCUUGAGGAAAUUGCUUCUCGAGACUCUGCAUUGGCCCUUGGUAUGGCAAGUGAUUCCGUAAAUAAAUUCUCCACAUUGCUGAAAGAAAACUCAGGGUCUAUCCCAGUUCUUAGCUCCGGAGGACUGGAUCUGGAUUUGAAUAGAGUCGAUGAAGCAUCUGAGGUUGGCCAAUGCUCCAGCAGCAGCAACCGUAUUGGAGAGGGUUCCAGGGUGCAUGUGAAACCGUUAAGUGGUCUACCUACUACUGAUGUUCAGAGGGAUUUUGAUCUCAAUGAUGGGCCUGGGGUUGAUGAUGCUAGUAUGGAGCAUUUAUCGAUCAAUCAACAAGUCAGGGUUCAUAUACCAUCUCAGCUGCCUUCUGUUAGCCCUAGAAUGAGUAAUCCUGGGCUUGGGAGUUUCACAUCUUGGUUUCCCCCUGGGUAUACUAACUCAACUUUGGCAAUUCCAACAAUAAUCCCGGAUCGUGCUGACCAGCCCUUUCCAGUUAUUCCACCUGGAGCAGCACAGAGAACAUUUGGCCCUGCUGGUAUAGCUCAAUUCAAUCCUGAUGUUUACAGAGGAUCAGUCUUGUCAUCAUCUCCUGCAGUUUCAUUCCCAUCUAGUCCUUUCCAGUUCCCUGUGUUUCCAUUUGGGCCUAGUUUUCCUCUUCCAUCUGCCACUUUUCCUGUUGGAGCAACGUCAUAUGCUGAUUCCUCUUCAGGAGCAAAGCUGUUUGCUCCUCCUGUGAAUUCUCAGUUGUUGGGCUCAGUUGGUGCAAUCUCAUCCCAAUUUCAGAGACCUUAUAUGGUUAGUCUUCCGGACAGCAGCAGUAAUGGUGGGUUGGAGAAUAACAGAAAGUGGGGUAGACAGGGUCUAGACCUCAACGCAGGCCCUGGAGCCAUUGAAAGCGAAGUCAGGGAGGAUAUGUUGCCUCCACCGUCAAGUCAACAUUCAGUUGCCAGUUCACAAGCUCUAACAGAGGACCAAGCUAGGAUGUACUCAAUGUCAGGUAGUAUUUUGAAGAGGAAGGAGCCAGAUGGAGGGUGGGAUAAUGAAAGCUUCAGAUAUAAGCAGUCUUCAUGGCAGUAGGAACUGUAGACGGCUCCAUACUGCAGCAUUCUUGUAAGUCCUGAAAGGAAAAAUUCACCUAUACUUGACAUUUGUUAGCAAUUCUACUUAAUGCACAAUGGGACCUUCUCGUUCUCAAAUAUCACAGUUGAUCGUCGUUGUUGAAGUGAAAGGGAUAAGGCAUCCAACAUUAGGAGACUACAUAUGGCAAGAAUUGUGUAUAGAUUCACACCUGCCUAGAAGAUGUUUUUGGAGCAAUUACUGGAUCAUCAUCCUGCUGGGAUACUCCCUCAAUCCAUGGGUGGUUUAUCAAGUAGAUUUUUACAUGUCCGGUUCCCGAUGCUCAUCUCUUUUGGGCAUCAAACUAUAUGCUGAAGCAUUCAAUGUGUAUGCUUUACAAACUGUACUGGGAGGACAGAGAUCCUUAUCCACCUGUAUAUAUUUUAACUGCCGGAAAGCUCGAACAUCUGGCACCUGGAUACUGAAGAUGGAUGUGCAUAACAGUUUCUGCAACAUUUUCUGGCUAACCAUUCUGAGGAGGCUGGAUCUUGAAUUUAUAGAAGCCCUUCUGAAUUUGAACCUGCUGUUCAUCAUCCUUUGCUCUUUAUAAUUUCCUUAUUUCUCGCAAACAUAUUUAUAAGUAGAUUUCUACCGAGUUUUGAUACUAAGGCUUUUCAUCUCACAUGUUUUAGUUGUUAUGGCCUCUCUUGUAAGUUUUAGUUGGUCUUGACUGUCUUACUACCUUUGCAGGUUCAUUGCCUAAUGUUAAAUCCACAGCUCAAGAUCAGAUUCACAUAGCAAUGAUGAUAUAAUUGUUUUUAGGCCUUUUUAUGUGCAGACUAUACUUUUGUGUUUCCCCUGCAUUAUGGAGACGAACCUAUGUCCUUGGUCAA
This is an RNA transcript of Sesamum indicum (sesame), 6094 nucleotides long. RefSeq lists it as uncharacterized. The record is from RefSeq and is a predicted model, not a curated record. NCBI's taxonomy places the organism in Eukaryota, Viridiplantae, Streptophyta, Magnoliopsida, Lamiales, Pedaliaceae.